AAAAAAAAAAAAAAAAAAAAAGGCAAAUAAGAACCAGUGUUGGUGGCUGCUGUCAAAUGAGCCUUGUAGGGUGAAUAAAAUAUGCCUGGACUCUGGAGUCGAAUGCAAAAGAAAUAUUGUUCAUUGUCUCAUUAGAAGGUGUCUUCAAGACAGACGUGGCAAUAUCCAAGGCUCUUGGUCCUGGCCUUUGUGUCAAAAUUAGAUGAAUGAGAACAUCAAUCACUUAAUUAAUGAAAUACUGUCUAAAUAUAAAAAUACAUGUCUUGGCACAUUAUAAUGUGUUAAGAAAACAGUAAGAUCCUGAUUUAGAUGUCUGACUCCCUUACUUGCCCUUCAUUGGCUAAAGAUAGUUCAGACUUUAUAUGGUAAAGCCAGUGUUCUCAGUAUAUGGAAAAUUUAAAAUUCUCUUUUAUUAAAAGGAACAAAAGCAAAAACAAAACCUUAUACUGUUAAAUUAAUGAGUGUAUAAAUGACUCCAAAGCACUUGUUCUCAACCUGUGGGUUGCAACCUUUUCACAAGGGUCGCAUAUAAGAUCCUGCCUAUCAGAUAUUUACAUUAUGAUUCGUAACAGUAGCAAAAUCACAGUUAUGAAGCAGCAAUGAACAUAAUUUUAUGGUUGGGGUUCACCACAACAUGAGGAACUGUGUUAAAGUGUUGCAGCAUCAGGAAGGUUGAGAAUAACCACUUUAAACCAUAGAUAAAGUUAAGGGCCAAUGGGGAGAGUGCCUCAAUCUGGUUGUCUUAAAUUUUUUUUAACCAUGUGUUCUUUUUCCUGUUCUUCCCCAUGGUCUGGUGUGAUGGGAUUCUCCGUGGUAAAGUUCUCCAUGGUCCAUCUUGGUCAGAAACCUCGAGGAUGAUAGAGGAUGCUCUUGGGAAGACUACGUGUGGAUGUUCUCCUGAAGAAUGGCAUAUUCUUCCAUGAGAUAUUGAAAAGACACUGAAGAUAGACACUGAUGAAGAAUUCAAGAAAAGAAAGAUCGCUCCAUAGAAUGUGGUGGCAGACAGCAACAGCUUUGAUCCUCCUGUGGACACCUGUGGACAGAAUGACCCACAAGACUCAUGACUACAGCUUUCAGACUUUGAGACAAAACCCGAAACCCCACUUCCCCCCCCACACACACAAACUCUGCAAGACCUGGGGGCACCAUGAGAGCACAGAGCCCUGUAUACUGAGAGCCAACCAUCUGACCUUCUUCUGGAACCAGAUGAUAGGUAUGUC
This is a non-coding RNA of Peromyscus maniculatus bairdii (prairie deer mouse), 1220 nucleotides long. The record is from RefSeq and is a predicted model, not a curated record. Lineage: Eukaryota; Metazoa; Chordata; Mammalia; Rodentia; Cricetidae.